GUCUGUCUCCAAUGGAGAAACAAUAAUAUGGUUUCUGCCUCUCUUUUGCCUCUCAAAUCUCAUGCUAGUGCUUCUGGCUGGUGCAUUCUAACCUGGAACCCUGCUGAUGGGAAUUGUGAGGAAUGUGGCUUCCAAGCUUCUGGCUCCUACGACACGGAGGCGAGCUUGGGGCAGGCUCCUUCUUUCCAGUGUUACCUUUGUUCUCUGAACACACUUCAUGCUUACAAACCUCUCUAGGAACUUAGGAGUCAGAGAGAGCUGAGGAGAAGAGAGGUGAGCAAUGUGCCAGGAGAAGAGAAUCGAAGAGGCAUUGCACGUGCUGGAUGUGAAAGAAAGGAACUCAGAGAAGAGUAAGUGACUGAUUCCGCCACCACCGAAAAUUUCUACAGUGUUGUAAGAAGACUUUAAUAAUUCAAAUGCCACUCUUUGAGAGAAGUGACAGUAUGCAUAUAAACAUAGCACGGUAAACGUUUAGAGUCUAAAUUAAACUCCGGCUGAGAGGUUUUUCCCAACAGAUUUUAAAUUCACAGAGAGAUGCUGAACGAUUGGCCUGAACUGACUGGUCUCUUGGCGAGGCUGAAAGCAAGAUGCCCUCUGGCUGCUCUCUCUCCCUCAGAUGCUGCCGAGCGUCUGCUGUGGCCUUUGGCAAAAGUAAGGAUUGUGCCUUGAAAACACCAUUUUGCCUGAGAUAAUUGUCUAAGGGUUGGGGACUGUUUACCUCCUAAAUUUCCAGGAUGGAGCCUUUGCACAUGUGUUGUAUUACUUUGUUAGAUUUUUAUAAAAAGUGAGGCAUGUGAGUGAGUGGUGUUGAGUGAAUUCAGCUGCCAGUAUCCUGAAGCUAUCACAAUGAGUUUAGUUUCCUUAAUUUAUAUUCUCCGAGAACAUCAUCCGUUUUGUACAGGAUUUCAAACACGCAUGCGGAAAGUGGCUUCUAACCUUGUCUUUGAGUCAUUUCCUGCUAAUAAUUUCUCUUUCUGUGCUCCUCUUAUUGUUUCUUUUCUUUCUUUCCCCUUGACUCGUUUACCUAAUGGCCUAUCUAUCAAUAGUUUGUUCAAAGAAUUACUUCUUGGAAUCAUUUUCAUUAAUUUAUAUUUUAACUUUGUUAUCAGAACUUCCUCUCUGGUAUUGCGUUCGUUUACUUAUUUUUUGCCAGCAUCUUGAAUUGGAUGCUUAUUAAUUUUUAUUCUUUCCUUUUUUUUAAAUGUAAGCAUUUAAGGCUAUGAAUCUUCCUCUCAACACAACUUUACCUUUAUCACAUAGUUUCUAACACAAGUUAGUUUUGUUGUUAUUAUUUUCUAGAUGGCUGAUAGUUUAUUUUUUAUUUCCAUUUUGACUCAACAGUUGUUUUUUUUUUUUUUAAAUCGUGUGGUAUGUUUUUCUUUUCUGGUUUUGUUAUUAAUUUCUAGCUUUUUUAUUUUGUGAUCAAAACUAAGUUGCCUUUGCUAUUUUUACUUUUCAAAAUUUAUUGAGUUCUUUUUGCCCAUUAAGUGGACAAAUUUUGUUAAUGUUCUGUGGAUAUGUAAAAAAGUAAGAAUAGUCUCUCCUUUCAUGAUAUAAGCGUUGAAUGCACAGUGAUUACAUGCUACUUUAUUAAUUACAUUCUUUAGGAUGCCUAUAUUUUUUCUUAUUAUUUGUAUACUUGCUAUAUCAAGAGUGAGAGAGGUAAAUUAAUAUUCCUUAUUACUAAUGUAUUUGGCUAGUUCUCCUUGUAUAUCCUAUGCUUUUAAUUUUGUUAAUAUUAGUGCUAUGUUAUUUGACCAUAACUGAAAUUCUGCCUUGUAGAUUGUAUACAUUGUCUUACAGGGCAUGCUUCCUUGUAUAGUUUAUGUUUUUUUAUGUGUGUGGUUCAAAAAAAGAUGAUUAUGGCAUCUGUUUUCUUUUUCACUUGCCUUAUAUAUAUUUGUCCAUCUUUUUAUUUUUACUUUUCCCAUUUGUUUUAGGGGUCUCCAUGGCCAAACUAAUAGGUAGAUUUAGCUAACUAAUAUAAAAGACAUGUUAGGUGUUUUGUAUUUUAUCAUAUUACUGUAAUUUUUUGGUUUUUAUAUUUUUGUUUUUGAAACUUGCAAUAUGGUUUGAAUUUAUUUUGCUGCUUUCUUGUUUUGUGUAAUUUAUAAUCAAUUUGCAAUUAUUGUGAUUUUUUUCCUGAUGGUUACAUUUCUAACUGUAAAUUUAUGUAAUGCCCUUAAUUCUCUAUUUCUUAAUGGAGAGUCUAUUGCCUAGUUACUGUCACUAAUGAUAAAAUAAUUAUAUUUCUAUGUUUUCCCGUCUUAGAUCUUUCCUUUCCAUAUGUGAUCUUCUUUAAUAAUAAUGCUUAGUCUUUACAUUUAUUGCUUUCAUUGUUUUCAGACUUCAAGUGUAAGUACUGGGUUUAUCAGCUUUAAAUGACUCCUCCUUCCCCUACUUCCAGCUCCAAAAGAUAUGAACAUGAGGAGCUUAACUAAGAAAUGCCUUCAUGCUGGAUGUUCUGUGUGCAGUUUUUCCCUGAGAUACCCUGUGUCCUGUGAAUCUAUAGGUUUGUGUUUUUAAAUUUCUGGAUAAUUUUCUUAUACCUAAUAUUUUAAUUUUCCUCUACAACUGUGUUGAAUUUCUUUUUGAUCAGUUUUGUGUAUAUUGGAAUCUCAUUUCUCCUCCACACGUAUGAUUUUCUAGUUGUUUAGCUUGUUCAUUUUCAUCUCAUUUUGCCUCUUUUUCCCAAUUCUGUCUUCUGUGUCCUUUACUGUGUUUUCAGUGGUAUUUUCUCUAAGUCUGCUUCCAACAUGGACCUCAUUUCUGCGAUGGCAUUCCCCCCUUACCCCAACUUCUUUUCUAGGUUCUGCCAUGCCAGCAAUUAUUCUGUUUUCCUACUUCUGUUUUACCUUAUUCUGUUUUCCCACUCUCAGAGCUCAUGUCUGUUUGUUGUGUGUUUUUAUUUUUUGAGGCAAUUUAUUCAUUAUGUUUAAAAAACUCAUGGUGGCAUUGAUGGUCACAAUUUUCAUUUGCUCCUUAGUAUUUUUCUGGUGAGUUACUCAUUUUCCUUGUUCUUUUACUCCUUUUCUUUUCUUUUGGUAUGUUAGUAAAGAUAGUGUACAAAGUCCUUGCAUACUAUUGCUCAUUUUGUUUACAGAGGUGAGUUCUACCUGGACCACAUGUUUUCCAGGAGUUCAUGUGAGAACAGGGCCAAGGUAGUUUCUGAGGCUGGUAGAAGUUCUUGCUAUAACAUAGUGUGUGUGAGUGAGGUAUUUUAUAGUCUUUACUUCCUCUCAGUCAUCUAAGGUUGGCAGCUCCAGGGCUGUUCGCGAUUCAGUAUCUCUCAACCUGUCUCACCCACAGAAAGCUUCCUGACAACACAGUCUGCCUGUGGGACCCUCCUCCUUCUCUGCUUCCAGCUUCUCCUUAGCGAAGAGCCAUUUUGGAGACGGUCCUGCAGUCAGGCUGUGCCCUCUGCUCUUCUUAGCCCUUAGUUAUCUUCUACUUUAAGACAUAUGGGGUUACGUUACAGGUUUUCUUCCUCCUCGUUUUUGGGUAAUUUCUGAUAUGAGAAAGGGUUGGCACUGUUUU
This is a long non-coding RNA of Equus caballus (horse), 3537 nucleotides long. Lineage: Eukaryota; Metazoa; Chordata; Mammalia; Perissodactyla; Equidae. The record is from Ensembl.